GUAUUGUUUAUUCAUUUUUUAAUGUCAUUUUUUGAAAUUUUGACAUAGAAUGCUAAUCAUGAUUUUUAUAGUUUCUUAAAUAGGCUGGAUAUCAUGGUGAAUAUCAGAAAAAAGGUUGUUGAUGAUUCCAAAGCUCCACGUAAAAAGAGAUUAGUACGAAAAACUACACAUGGACAACUUAAAGUAGCCAACACAUUUCAACAACAUUUUAACUCUCUGGAUGUUCCUACUAGUUCUUUCUACAGCAUGAAUAUGCAUAAGGAUCUCAUGAAAAAAAUAUUAUUCACUUGUUGAUUUACCAAAAAACUGUACAGUGAGGUCCAUCACUAACACAUUUACAGAUGAGGCAUCACAUGAGGUUACCCCAGAAGAUGAUGUAGACAUGAGUGGUAAUGAAAACCAAAGAACACAUGUGGAAGAUGCGAGUCUAUUGCAACAAAAUGUUACACUUCUGAAGGAGAGACUCAACAAGUUCAAAAGAAGAAGAAAGGCCCUACCCAAAUGAAGAAUUUGAACGAAGUCAUUGCUCCAAUUGAAGUAAAGUUUAAUGAAAUGGGACAAUCACUAUCUGUCACUUUAUCUUCGUUUCUGGGCCGUCUUGUGAGGGAGACUGUACCAUAUACUCUUGUUGACUGGCGAUACCUUUCAGAUGAUAUGAAACUUGUUAUGUGGAAAGAUAUUCAGGUACAUCCUUCAAAAUAAUUCGACGUUAUAUAAUAUAACGUAAUAAGUAUUUGAUAUUGUAUAAAAUUGAAAAUUUAUAACUUGCAGCAAAGGUUCAAAGUAGAUGAAGAAUGGCAAAAAGACUACAUUUUCAAAGAAAUGGGUGGUCUCUGGAGAGCGUCGAAGUCUCGACUUGUGAAAAAGAUUAGAGAAGCACCAAAUGAAGCUGAAAGAAAGAAACUCAAACCUCAUCAUAUACUUAAACCCCAGUAAUGGAAGAAGUUUGUGAAGGAAAAGACGAGUACAGAAUUUAUGGUAAAUUCUACCUUUUCCCUUUUUUUAGAUCAAAUUUAUCUAAGCUAUGAUUAAUUAUCAAUAAACUUAUAUAAGUUUGGAAAUAUGAUUGUUAGGCUAAAAGCCAAAGAUUUAGAGAAAUUCGAGAAAAACAAAUCCCCCACACAUGCAGUCGUAAGGGAUUUGCCAGAUUGCGUGAAGAUAUGGUAACAUUCCACAAGCCUUCUUUAAUUUGACUAAGUCAAUCAUUUGCUCUAGAUUCUUAUCAUAUAAUUCUUCACUCUCUUAGCAAAAGAAGAGCAGCAAUCCAUCUUCUAUAGGUCCCAAGAAGGUUUGGGCAGCAGCAAAUAUAAAAAAGAAUGGUGAACCUAUAUGCAAACUUGUUGAAGAUACGCUUGUAAGUAUAAAUAAUUUAUUUUUCCUAGUUCUAUAUAUGCGCGCAUGCAUGUGUGUGUGCGCAUAUAUGUAUAUAUACACUUAUAUAUUGUCUUUUUAGGAAAAAUUGAAAGAUGCGAGUCCGCAUGCCUCUAACACUAACAUAAAAGAAGAUGCUCUUUCUAAAGUACUUGGUUCAAAGAAUACUGGACGAUUACGAGGGAUUGGAGGUGGAGUUUGCUAUACAAAGUAUUCCAUAUUAACUCAAAGGGAGUCUACUGUAGCUCAUUUAAAGGAAGAACAAAUCAUCUAAAGGUUCAAGUGGCAGAUAUGGUGAAAACAAUCAAUGACUUAUUGAAAAAACAGGUUAGUAAGUUCCAUUCAGUGAAAUAUAACUCAUAAGCUUUUACUUCACAUAGUAUAGUAACUAGUUUCUAAAGUUUUUUAUCUUUGUAGUUUCAGGAGAAGCACAUUGAAG
Molecule: long non-coding RNA, 1810 nt
Filed under: Olea europaea subsp. europaea
Lineage: Eukaryota; Viridiplantae; Streptophyta; Magnoliopsida; Lamiales; Oleaceae
Source: RNAcentral